RNAcentral lists this long non-coding RNA (230 nucleotides) under Elaeis guineensis (African oil palm). Its description in RNAcentral is "long non-coding RNA (EGUI_LNC011004)". The record is from RNAcentral. Lineage: Eukaryota; Viridiplantae; Streptophyta; Magnoliopsida; Arecales; Arecaceae.
AUGGGGGACUGGGGAUGGGUGCUUCCCCGUUCAUCUCAGCGUCGCAGUAUACUGCAAUUUAUACGGUUGGUGGGAGUGAGGAAGAUUCCACCCACGUCUCCGAACCCGACAACCCAACCCACUAAGGUUUCAAGACACCAUCUUAAAUACCGCAAGCUCUGCUCGAACUGAUCUCGCAUAUCCGAGAAACAGUGUCAAAGGAUAAAGCCGAAAGAAAACAAUUGGGAAGA